GGAUUAAUACCCCAUAGUAAUACUAAGUGGCAUCAUUUGGUAUUUAAAGUUUCGGCGGUAGAGGAUGGCUAUGCGUCUUAUUAGUUAGUAGGUGAGGUAACGGCUCAACCUAGACAGCGAUAAGUAGGGGCCCUGAGAGGGGGGACCCCCCACACUGGUACUGAGACACGGACCAGACUCCUACGGGAGGCAGCAGUGAGGAAUAUUGGACAAUGGUCGACAGACUGAUCCAGCCAUGCCGCGUGCAGGAAGACGGCCUUACGGGUUGUAAACUGCUUUUAUACGGGAAGAAUAAUACCCACGUGUGGGUAGAUGACGGUACCGUAAGAAUAAGGACCGGCUAACUCCGUGCCAGCAGCCGCGGUAAUACGGAGGGUCCGAGCGUUAUCCGGAAUUAUUGGGUUUAAAGGGUCCGCAGGCGGGUCAGUAAGUCAGGGGUGAAAGUUUGCGGCUUAACCGUAAAAUUGCCUUUGAUACUGCUGGUCUUGAGUUGCGGUGAAGUGGCUGGAAUAUGUGGUGUAGCGGUGAAAUGCAUAGAUAUCACCUAGAACACCGAUUGCGAAGGCAGGUCACUAACCGCCGACUGACGCUUAUGGACGAAAGCGUGGUGAGCGUACCGGGAUUAGAUACCCCGGUAGUCCACGCCGUUAACGAUGGACACUAGCUGUCGGGCCGAAUUUAGGUACGGUGGCUAAGCGAAAGUGAUAAGUGUCCCCACCUGGGGAGUACGUCGGCAACGAUGAAACUCAAAAGGAAUUUGACGGGGGCCCGCACUAUCGGUGGAGCAUGUGGUUUAAUUCGAUGAUACGCGAGGAACCUUACCAGGGCUUAAAUGUAGUGGGACAGGCUUAGAGAUAGGCUUUUCUUCGGACUCAUUACCAGGUGCUGCAUGGUUGUCGUCAGCUCGUGCCGUGAGGUGUCAGGUUAAGUCCUAUAACGA
RNAcentral lists this ribosomal RNA (940 nucleotides) under uncultured organism. RNAcentral's name for it is "bacterial SSU rRNA". It matches the Rfam family "Bacterial small subunit ribosomal RNA", at positions 160 to 1095 of the family's 1533-position model. The record is from RNAcentral.